Molecule: ribosomal RNA, 475 nt
Filed under: uncultured bacterium
Lineage: Bacteria
Description: bacterial SSU rRNA
Rfam family: Bacterial small subunit ribosomal RNA
Source: RNAcentral
GGGAGGCAGCAGUGGGGAAUUUUGGACAAUGGGCGCAAGCCUGAUCCAGCCAUGCCGCGUGAGUGAAGAAGGCCUUCGGGUUGUAAAGCUCUUUCGCGAGGGAAGAAAUCCUCCGGGCGAACAGUCUGGGGGGAUGACGGUACCUUGAGAAGAAGCACCGGCUAACUACGUGCCAGCAGCCGCGGUAAUACGUAGGGUGCGAGCGUUAAUCGGAAUUACUGGGCGUAAAGCGUGCGCAGGCGGUUCGUCAAGUCAGAUGUGAAAUCCCCGGGCUUAACCUGGGAAUGGCGUUUGAAACUGGCGGGCUAGAGUUUGGCAGAGGGGGGUGGAAUUCCACGUGUAGCAGUGAAAUGCGUAGAGAUGUGGAGGAACACCGAUGGCGAAGGCAGCCCCCUGGGUCAAGACUGACGCUCAGGCAUGAAAGCCUGGGGAACAAACAGGUUUAGAUACCCUGAUAGUACACGCCGGUAAACGA